CCUACGGGUGGCAGCAGUUGGGAAUAUUGCGCAAUGGAGGAAACUCUGACGCAGUGACGCCGCGUGCAGGAUGAAGGUUCUCGGAUUGUAAACCGCUUUAGAAAGGGACGAAAAAAGACCGUACCUGUAAAAUAAGCUCCGGCUAACGACGUACCAGCAGCCCCGGUAAGACGUAGGGAGCAAGCGUUAUUCGGAUUUAUUGUGGGUAACGGGUGCGUAGGUGGAGAAGCAAGAUAGUUGUGAAAUCCCUCGGCUUAACUGAGGAACUGCAACUAAAACUACUUGCCUUGAGUACUUGAGAGGAAAGUGGAAUUCCUAGUGUAGCGGUGAAAUGCGUAGAUAUGAGGAAGAACACCAGUGGCGAAGGCGACUUUCUGGACAGUAACUGACGUUGAGGCACGAAAGUGUGGGGAGCAAACAGGAUUAGAUACCCCUGUAGUC
Molecule: ribosomal RNA, 441 nt
Filed under: uncultured bacterium
Lineage: Bacteria
Description: partial 16S ribosomal RNA
Rfam family: Bacterial small subunit ribosomal RNA
Source: RNAcentral